Molecule: unclassified non-coding RNA, 499 nt
Filed under: uncultured Glomus
Lineage: Eukaryota; Fungi; Glomeromycota; Glomeromycetes; Glomerales; Glomeraceae
Description: SSU rRNA
Rfam family: Eukaryotic small subunit ribosomal RNA
Source: RNAcentral
CCAAUAGCGUAUAUUAAAGUUGCUGCAGUUAAAAAGCUCGUAGUUGAAUUUCGGGACUAAUAUGUCGGUCGUGCCUCGGUACGUACUGGUAUUUUUGGUUUCUCCCUUCUGACGAACCUUGAUGUCAUUAAUUUGGUGUCUUGGGAAAUCAGGACUGUUACUUUGAAAAAAUUAGAGUGUUUAAAGCAGGCUCACGCUUGAAUACAUUAGCAUGGAAUAAUGAAAUAGGACGUUUGAUUCUAUUUUGUUGGUUUCUAGGAUCGACGUAAUGAUUAAUAGGGAUAGUUGGGGGCAUUAGUAUUCAAUUGUCAGAGGUGAAAUUCUUGGAUUUAUUGAAGACUAACUACUGCGAAAGCAUUUGCCAAGGAUGUUUUCAUUAAUCAAGAACGAAAGUUAGGGGAUCGAAGACGAUCAGAUACCGUCGUAGUCUUAACCAUAAACUAUGCCGACUAGGGAUCGGACGAAGUUAAUUUUAUAAUGACGCGUUCGGCACCUUACG